This 504-nucleotide ribosomal RNA is filed under the name uncultured bacterium. RNAcentral's name for it is "partial 16S ribosomal RNA". It matches the Rfam family "Bacterial small subunit ribosomal RNA", at positions 29 to 523 of the family's 1533-position model. The record is from RNAcentral.
AUUGAACGCUGGCGGCAGGCCUAACACAUGCAAGUCGGACGGUAGCACAGAGAGCUUGCUCUCGGGUGACGAGUGGCGGACGGGUGAGUAAUGUCUGGGGAUCUGCCCGAUAGAGGGGGAUAACCACUGGAAACGGUGGCUAAUACCGCAUAACGUCGCAAGACCAAAGAGGGGGACCUUCGGGCCUCUCACUAUCGGAUGAACCCAGAUGGGAUUAGCUAGUAGGCGGGGUAAUGGCCCACCUAGGCGACGAUCCCUAGCUGGGCUGAGAGGAUGACCAGACACACUGGAGCUGAGACACGGUCCAGACUCCAACGGGAGGCAGCAGUGGGGAAUAUUGCACAAUGGGCGCAAGCCUGAUGCAGCCAUGCCGCGUGUAUGAAGAAGGCCUUCGGGUUGUAAAGUACUUUCAGCGGGGAGGAAGGCGGUGCGGUUAAUAACCGCGCCGAUUGACGUUACCCGCAGAAGAAGCACCGGCUAACUCCGUGCCAGCCGCCGCAGUAA